Small nucleolar RNA from Mustela putorius furo (domestic ferret), 153 nucleotides. The record is from Ensembl. NCBI's taxonomy places the organism in Eukaryota, Metazoa, Chordata, Mammalia, Carnivora, Mustelidae.
CUUACCCAUCUUUGUAAAAAAUCAUUUCAAUUGUAGCUGGCUGAUGCACUUACAAGUGUAGGUGGUGUGCUACACAAGGGGUAAGUCUUUGGCUAACACCACAAGGGUCUCUGGCUCACUGAGCAGAGUUUGAUAGUAAUUUUUGCUACACCU